RNAcentral lists this ribosomal RNA (497 nucleotides) under uncultured bacterium. RNAcentral's name for it is "partial 16S ribosomal RNA". It matches the Rfam family "Bacterial small subunit ribosomal RNA", at positions 28 to 507 of the family's 1533-position model. The record is from RNAcentral.
GGUGAACGCUGGCGGCGUGCCUAAUACAUGCAAGUCGAGCGAACGGACGAGAAGCUUGCUUCUCUGAUGUUAGCGGCGGACGGGUGAGUAACACGUGGAUAACCUACCUAUAAGACUGGGAUAACUUCGGGAAACCGUAGCUAAUACCGGAUAAUAUUUUGAACCGCAUGGUUCAAAAGUGAAAGACGGUCUUGCUGCCACUUAUAGAUGGAUCCGCGCUGCAUUAGCUAGUUGGUAAGGUAACGGCUUACCAAGGCAACGAUGCAUAGCCGACCUGAGAGGGUGAUCGGCCACACUGGAACUGAGACACGGUCCAGACUCCUACGGGGGGCAGCAGUAGGGAAUCUUCCGCAAUGGGCGAAAGCCUGACGGAGCAACGCCGCGUGAGUGAUGAAGGUCUUCGGAUCGUAAAACUCUGUUAUUAGGGAAGAACAUAUGUGUAAGUAACUGUGCACAUCUUGACGGUACCUAAUCAGAAAGCCACGGCUAACUACGUG